Molecule: long non-coding RNA, 1127 nt
Organism: Oncorhynchus kisutch (coho salmon)
Lineage: Eukaryota; Metazoa; Chordata; Actinopteri; Salmoniformes; Salmonidae
Exons: 3
Source: RefSeq, a predicted model, not a curated record
ACUCUCUGCUUGUUUUGAUCAGCCACCACUAAUAGUACCAGACAUAGAGCUUAUUCCUAGCAGAAUGAGAGAACUCUUCAUCAACUUCUCCAAGAACCCUCUCCUCCUCCUCCUCAUCUGUUCUUUAGACACACUGAGUUCAGUGUUCCAGCUGGCUGGCGGUGUUUGCUGGGGCUACCACCCACUACUGUUUCAACUGUCUGUCUGUGCUGGUGCUGCUGCCGAUGGAGGUGGCUACAGGGCUGAUGACCCACUUGGCCCACAUCGUGGUCACCAGCUUCAACAUACAGAGUGGAGAGUUGGAUAGCAUGUGAUCACCGCCAUCACCAUGGGAGAUGAGAGCAUGAGGAACAGGAGCCUGGUGAAGUACUGGUGCCACACCAAUCUAGUUAUGGUACUGACCUCUGUCAACACCAUCACUGUCUCAAAACUGUCACCUCCUCACUGUCAUCGCUGUCAUCAUUGUCACCCCCAGACCAUCUGUCUAACCACAUCACAGUCUCAACAAUUGAAAGGAAACACUUUGAAGUUUGUGGAAAUGUGAAUUGAAUGUAGGAGAAUAUAACAACAGAAAGGUCCCACUUCUAGCCAUCACUCUGGUUGUAAUUCCGGUGGUGUCCACAAGAUGGCAGCAGUGCAUGUACAAAGCAUCAGACGGAUAACUUGAAGUAUGAGCGAAGUAUGGGCUACCUGGCCCUGCUCUGCUCCUGCUUGGUUCUCCUGUUCAAGCUGAUCAAGGUCAAGAGGCAAAUUUUAUCUAGAAGGUCAUCAACACAGGUGGGUGCCCGAUGGAGAUAGAUUGCAAAAUGUUGAAACUAAACUAUGAACGCCAUGCAAAUUGGCCUACGGGCAACCUGACCAUGUUCGUGGGAGCAGGGAUGACCUUCAUUGUCCAGAGCAGCUCUCUUCCCCUCUGCCCUCACACCACUUACUGUAUAGGUGAGGGACGUCUGGCUAGGAAACACAUCUACCUACUCCAUUCCAUGCACGAGUAACAAUAAAUAUGGGCUAAAAUACCAAGAUUUUCAAAGAUUUUCUGUAAUGAUUGAUUAUCAAUAUCAUAGACAGAAUAAUAAUGAAUAGAGAGGGGUGGUUAUGAAAUAUUGCAUCUAUUCACAGAAAGAACA